Non-coding RNA from Rhineura floridana, 607 nucleotides. Lineage: Eukaryota; Metazoa; Chordata; Lepidosauria; Squamata; Rhineuridae. The record is from the annotation of a RefSeq genome assembly.
ACACAACUUCCUGUUCCCUCAUCUGGGUUUUACUGCAUUAGCUAUUUGAUGAGAGCCAAGGAUGUUGCUGCAUCUGGAGUUGGCUUGUCCGGGCAAAUGUCUGCUAAGACACUUCUUUGUUCCAGUAAGCUUCCAUUUGCUUGUUGCUUCAUUAUUCUCAUCAGGUUGUGCUCUUGAGCAGUCUGCAGACAUGAUUGUCAAGGAAAAUGUGUCCGUCGACCUGAAAUGUUCCCAAAAUAAAACCACUUAUUCUUAUAUGUACUGGUUUAAGCAAGAAAGAAACGAUACACAGCUCCAGCUAGUGAUUUUUUCGGUGGAAGAUAGUGGAGCAAACUCUGCCAUUGAGAACAAAUUUAAAGAGCGCUUCAAGAGUUCUGGAACAAAGAGUUAUUCAUUGCAUCUGAACCUGAAGGCAGCCCAGCUGGAAGACACUGGCGUCUACUUCUGUGCUAAGCAAGAUUACACAGUGAGGCAACUGCUGAGGGAACCAAACACAAACCCCUUCACCGGGGUUCUACAUACAGUGAUCUGUGGAAAGAUGGCGUUUCAGGAACACGCCUAUGAGGACUCUAGCCUUAACCCGGAAAUCUCAGGUUUUGGGGCCUAG